CUGCUGAACUCUUGUCUCAAUUCCAGUUUUCUUUCUCGGAGCCGACCGAGUCAGGGAUCACAGGACCCUCUGAGCCAGCCAGGUGUCCUUCCUUUACAUGGAAGAUGGAUUCACAUCCCCAGCUGUGGGAAAGAUAAGUGGAGGACUAGCACCUGGAGAGGGGAUGAGAACUGGGUCCAGUUUUAUGGUUAGGAGGGAGGGAUUUUCAAAUGAGCACAGGGGAAAGGGUCUGCCCUAAGAGGCCCUUGGCACACAUAGGAGGAGCAGUUUACUUUUCAUCACUGGAGUAGAAUGUGCAGGGCAGAGGUGUUCAGGUCUGUGUCGUGUCCUUUGUUCAGUCUGUGUUUUGUGUCUUAAAAUUCACAAUCACGGUGUCCUUUCUCAGAGUUCUCUCUCCUCGUUGCACCAGAGCACUUGUCGGGAAAUGUGUCCUUGGAGUUUGUGUUGGACCUGGAACUGCUCUACCCUGCAGUGCAGACUUGGGGCGUCAGAGGGGCUGGAUGUAAAGCAGAGAUAAACAGAAGAGGCUGGAGGAGCAGAGUCAGAAGAUGCAGAGCCACCGGCCCAGCAGACGAUAGGCACUAGAGGGAAGGUGAGCCUGGUGAGGAAGGCAGUGCACCGACUUCUGACGUACAGUCCAACGUGAUGGGGACCCUGCCUGUAAGAGGAGAUGUAGACAGCCUGACAGGGCCGAAGCCAACUCACAAUGAGGAGAUGGACACGGUUUGGUCCCCUGGAGCUGUCCUUGUAGGUAAUCUCUGAGUAUUAAAAGGAUCAGCAAUGAAGCACUGAGCUUUUCUGAUUGCAGGUGCCAUCUGGGUAACCUUUGGGAGCAGAUGAGCAUUGGAGGUAUCCCAGAAGAUGACAGCACAUUGUCCAAGUCUGGUCAGAGCCAGUGACAUGAGGACCUGCCUCGGUGCCAGUGAGUAGAGGAAUCGUCGGGGC
Molecule: long non-coding RNA, 945 nt
Organism: Manacus vitellinus (golden-collared manakin)
Lineage: Eukaryota; Metazoa; Chordata; Aves; Passeriformes; Pipridae
Exons: 6
Source: RefSeq, a predicted model, not a curated record